GUUGUUUCAGAAACAAUGAAAGAUAGAUUCAGUCUUCAAAAGGAAAGUGUUAUGCUAAGGAAGAUUAAAAUGUAAAGAAACUACUAUACUACAAAGCAAGAUUUAAGAAAAGUCACAUUUUAAAUAAUGGGCAAGGAGCAGUUUACUCAAAAGAUCAUGGAAUGUAGAAAACUUGGGAAUGCUGACCUACAAAGCCCGAAGAGUGCUGUAAACAGAGCUUUAAUGGCUGUUCAGGUUGCUUUGGUCAUGGUGUUUUAUCACAGUAACAGAAAAAUCAAUGCAUCUGAGGAGUAAGAGAGACUGAUGAUCUGCUCCAAGGAGGCUGCUCACAAAUGAUCCCUCAGAGUCACAACAGAGCAUCAACGAACAAUGAACAGUGUCUAUGGGGACUUGGUUCUUUCAGGUCUGCUUUAACUUAUGCUUGCAAAGCACAGACCUCAGGACUGACUCACAGAAGGCUCUUCUCUGACAGAACAACAGCUUUCCACAAUUUGGGAAAGCACAGACCACCUUUAUCUAAGAUUUCAGCAGAAGGACCUAUUACUGUUCAUUCGAUAAUGGGACAUUGUAAUGAAACUGAGAUAAUAAAAAGCAUAUGUGUUUGGAACUGGUUCAAA
RNAcentral lists this long non-coding RNA (617 nucleotides) under Cricetulus griseus (Chinese hamster). RNAcentral's name for it is "lncRNA (ENSCGRG00015033614.1)". The record is from RNAcentral. Lineage: Eukaryota; Metazoa; Chordata; Mammalia; Rodentia; Cricetidae.